This is a long non-coding RNA of Scylla paramamosain (green mud crab), 3723 nucleotides long. RefSeq lists it as uncharacterized. NCBI's taxonomy places the organism in Eukaryota, Metazoa, Arthropoda, Malacostraca, Decapoda, Portunidae. The record is from RefSeq and is a predicted model, not a curated record. The transcript is spliced from 3 exons.
UCCAUUCUUUGAUUAAAUUCAUUGGUGUCAGUAUCCUACACCUUAGGACGCGAAGAGGGAGAGGGAGAUGGAGGAGUGGGAGAGGAGAGAGGUGGGAAGAAAGCCGGCAAUGUUAGUCCUGCGUUGCUUGAGGAAAGAAGGACGGGUGAGUGAGUGGCCAGACAAGACUAAUAUUUUGUACUUUAUUUUAUUUUUUUCUGUGUUUGUGUUCCUGUAUUGCUGCGGGUGACGUCAAACAACAUUGCAACACAUCGGUAAGGUGAGUGUUGUGGCUGUGGUGGUGUUAGGUGAAAAUUAGGCUAACGAGUGCUAGUUAGGUCGCUGUCUAGUUAGUGUUAAGCCUCGUUUGUUAGGCGUUCUUGUGUUUGAAUGUUAAUGUUUUUAUCUUCGCCAGAGAUUGAAAUGAUGAGGUGAGUGUUGUGGUGUCCCUGUUGUCAGGUAAUUAUAACACUAACGAGGUGCUUGUUGGGUAGUUAGUGUUAAUCUUGUUUGUUGGGCGUUCUUGUGUUGGGAUAUUAAUGAAGAAAUGUUUGUGUUUUCACCUGAUAUUAGAUCUGUGACAAGCGUGUUAUGGUGGUGGUGAUGGUGGUGGUGAUGGUGGUGGUGGUGGUAGGUCAGUGGGUCACAAACUUUUUCGUGUGACCCUAUUUGGAACAUUUCAAUCCCUCGUGACACAUUGUUAAGUAAAUAAAAAGAAAAUGUACAGUGAUAUUUUGUUUGUGUCCCUGCGACCCAUCAAAAUUGGUCUCGCCCUUAGUUUGAGAGCCAGUGUGCUAGAUGAUUAUGCUGACGAGGUGAUAAGUUGGUUGACUUGUUAGUAUUAAGCCUCGUUUGUUGUGCAUUCAUGUGUUGGGAUACUAUUGAAAUAAUGAUCGCGUUUUUUUAAGGUCUUCUUGAUGUGAUGGGAUAUUAUUUGGAUAUUAAAAUGCAGCAAUUCUAAGUAUUACGUCUUAGUAUAUCGCUCCUUCUUGAGAUCAGUUUUAGAAUGAUCACUAGCCAUCUCUCUCUCUCUCUCUCUCUCUCUCUCUCUCUCUCUCUCUCUCUCUCUCUCUCUCUCUAUUUCUGGGUAUUUCAAAUUUACAUGUUUGCUGGAAUUAUAUCCUCGUUAACUAUAAAUUUCACCCUCUCUUCGUUACACACACACACAAUGAACUUCCCUCCCAGCUCUCCCUGCCACACUUAUGGUCAGUAACGCCAGUCUUUCCGCAGGUAGGGUUACGUAAGCUGAACAUCGUGGGACAGACAGCGCGCGGGAGCAACGAGAUCCGUGGCGCAAAGUAAGCUUUAAUUAACCUGUGCUUCCUUUCCAGGGCUACUAAUCCUCGAAUCUUGCAGGAAACGCGUGGAGUGAGUGAAUGGUGCUCUACUGUCCUCUCUUUCUCUGUCUUGGCCUGUUCCCCGUUACUGUAGGUGAAGACACAGUAAAGGUUAAGACAGUGAUGAGAUAGAGAAAAAAUAUAUAUGAGGUCAGUUUGGAGAAGAGAAGCGGUAGAUUAAGGUGGUCUGGACAGGUUAAGAGGAAAGACGAGUGUAUGGGGAGAAGGAUGCUGAAGAUGGAUUUACCUGAAAGAAGGAAGAAUGAAAAACGUGUGGCUGCGGACUGCGGGAGGUGCGACUCUUCCGUGACUCCCAGCAGAGACGCCUCCUUGUGUGGCUCCAGUGUGUCAGACUGCUGUGGCUAUUUUCUUUACUAAGACUAUAGACCUGCACACACGAAACCAAGACACUUAUUUUGGUAUUUAGAAGAACCUUUCCACCCUUACGCCAUUUUGCCAACAAGCUGGUACGAAGAGCAUAAGGAUAUAAGGAUACAAGGGAAGCAGCAAGAAGCAGUCAGACCAACACGUGGCGGUCCCUGCAUAAAACAUACCUGUCUAUUUCCACUUAUCAUCCUCAUCUUGUCUAAUCUUCUUUUAAAGCUCCCUGAUGACUCGGUACUAUCAACCAUUCAUCUUUAUCAAGCUUAAGCCCGUUAUUUCUCAUUCUAUCCUGAUUACUGACCUGAGAAUUUUACUUGUCACCCUUGUUAUAUCUCGUAUACCACUUGAGAACAUAAUUGAAGAAAACAAGGGAAACUACAAGAAGCCAUUAGGCCUACACGUGGCAGUCCCGGUAUUAAACAUGCCUAUCCAUUACCGCCUAUUAUCCCCAUCCACAUGAAGAAACAUUAGCUCUUAAACUAUUUCACAGAAGAGGAAAAAUUUUAUAAAACAUGCCUUUUUAUGUUUACAAUUUACUGCUUACUUCACUUGGCUUACAGACUACUACGACCAGGUGUCCUCUUGCUAUUCAUUUUAAAUUUCUGAAGCCACUUACCAACGAGAUAUCCUGACCAAACCUCUCUCAGCUGUGUGACUGAUGGCCGCUGCAAGUGAUGUAUCCGUUCCCUGGAGCCAUUUAUAGGCAUGUAUAAUAAAGCCGGUAUUACGAACUCACGAGGAAAAUGGCAAGGGAUAAGUGGACUGUUGUGGAUUUCAGAAUUUUCGUGCGUGUUUUUUCCUAGAUGGUUGUUUAUGAGGAGUGUUUAUUGAUCGAAGUUAUUUAUGCAGUAGUGAGUUUUGUGUACAGUGUAGAGUAAAAUGUUGUAAUUAAGAUGCCUGCGCCCCGCUCACACAAACACAUGCACAUAUGUUAAUACGCGCAUACACGCGUAUUAACAUUUAUAUUAAUUUUGAUAUUAGUGUUGUAUUAUUACAUUCCUUCUGCUUGUAUAUUUUCAUAUCUCGGGUCUCCUCCGCCAAAUAAACUUUGUUGUUGUUGUUGUAAUAUAUCACAUAAUUUUUUAUAUAUUUUUCUUUCUUCAGUAAUAGCGAAUUAAUAGUUACUACUACUACUACUACUACUAUAAUUCACACACACACACACACACACACACACACACACACACACACACACACACACACACACACACACACACACACACACACACCCCUUAUUAUCUUUUUUUCCACAAGUGGCGAACCGUAUUAUCGAUCAUUUCCUGUCAACAAGUGCAAAAUAUUUGAAGUGUCUUGGCCAAGGUAUGAGUGUAUGAUUGUCUCCCGCUAUCUUGAUUCUCACCGAAUGGAGAGUCACGGGACCAGGGACGGAGUGAGUUUGAGAAUUAGUUCUUAUCACGUGAGUUCUUUUCUCACUCAGACUUAAUACACGUAAUUCAACACAGGAAUAUAUGAACUAAACUAAAAGAGGAAUGACAAUGCGAGUAAGGAUAAGAAUAAUGAUACGUAAUAAUGAGAAGGAAAGAAAAAAAAAACUGGAUGAAUUCACACAAAUCGAUGAACUGAAAGAAAAGAAAAGAGAGAAAAAAAAAAAGAAAAAGGAUAAUCAGCAAACAAACAAACAACAAUAACUAUGAAUUCAGCAUCAAUUAAAUCAACAAAAUGCAAUAAAAUCAACAAAUUACGUACAAAAUAAACUUAACAAACACAUCAACGAGCUCAACAAACUACUACUAAUUUCAACGAGUACAUGGAAUGACAGAUCUUGAGCCGAGUGUGAAAGACAAAAACCUUGAGCCAGAGACCACCACCACCACCACCACCGGUCCUCCACCUUUCACCCACGCUGCGAUCUGUUCCUCUUUAGACCACUGGGUUGCAUGGCAGUUACCUUAAUUAAUACGUCCUCUGCUAAUAACCCUUCGCGUGGGAAAUAAGUCCAGGUGCGUGUAUAUUGUGCUUAGAGUGUAAAAGUGUGCGAUGGUGAGUGUGAUAAUGAAUAAAA